Molecule: unclassified non-coding RNA, 340 nt
Filed under: soil metagenome
Description: partial contains 5.8S ribosomal RNA, internal transcribed spacer 2, and large subunit ribosomal RNA
Rfam family: 5.8S ribosomal RNA (bases 1-120)
Source: RNAcentral
GAUGAAGAACGUAUCGAAAUGCGAUAAGUAAUGUGAAUUGCAGAAUUCAGUGAAUCAUCGAAUCUUUGAACGCACAUUGCGCCCUUUGGUAUUCCAAAGGGCAUGCCUGUUCGAGCGUCAUUUGUACCCUCAAGCUUUGCUUGGUGUUGGGCGUCUUGUCUCUAGCUUUGCUGGAGACUCGCCUUAAAGUAAUUGGCAGCCGGCCUACUGGUUUCGGAGCGCAGCACAAGUCGCACUCUCUAUCAGCAAAGGUCUAGCAUCCAUUAAGCCUUUUUUUCAACUUUUGACCUCGGAUCAGGUAGGGAUACCCGCUGAACUUAAGCAUAUCAAUAAGCGGAGG